RNAcentral lists this ribosomal RNA (2503 nucleotides) under Escherichia coli. Its description in RNAcentral is "bacterial LSU rRNA". The stretch from base 1107 to 2503 matches the Rfam family "Bacterial large subunit ribosomal RNA". The record is from RNAcentral. Lineage: Bacteria; Pseudomonadati; Pseudomonadota; Gammaproteobacteria; Enterobacterales; Enterobacteriaceae.
UGCCCAGCAGCAGACUGCCGGUGCUGAUGCUUCUGCAAACAACGCGAAAGAUGACGAUGUUGUCGACGCUGAAUUUGAAGAAGUCAAAGACAAAAAAUAAUCGCCCUAUAAACGGGUAAUUAUACUGACACGGGCGAAGGGGAAUUUCCUCUCCGCCCGUGCAUUCAUCUAGGGGCAAAUCAAAAAAGAUGGCUAAGCAAGAUUAUUACGAGAUUUUAGGCGUUUCCAAAACAGCGGAAGAGCGUGAAAUCAAAAAGGCCUACAAACGCCUGGCCAUGAAAUACCACCCGGACCGUAACCAGGGUGACAAAGAGGCCGAGGCGAAAUUUAAAGAGAUCAAGGAAGCUUAUGAAGUUCUGACCGACUCGCAAAAACGUGCGGCAUACGAUCAGUAUGGUCAUGCUGCGUUUGAGCAAGGCGGCAUGGGCGGCGGCGGUUUUGGCGGCGGCGCAGACUUCAGCGAUAUUUUUGGUGACGUUUUCGGCGAUAUUUUUGGCGGCGGACGUGGUCGUCAACGUGCGGCGCGCGGUGCUGAUUUACGCUAUAACAUGGAGCUCACCCUCGAAGAAGCUGUACGUGGCGUGACCAAAGAGAUCCGCAUUCCGACUCUGGAAGAGUGUGACGUUUGCCACGGUAGCGGUGCAAAACCAGGUACACAGCCGCAGACCUGUCCGACCUGUCAUGGUUCUGGCCAGGUGCAGAUGCGCCAGGGUUUCUUUGCCGUGCAGCAGACCUGUCCACACUGUCAGGGCCGCGGUACGCUGAUCAAAGAUCCGUGCAACAAAUGUCAUGGUCAUGGUCGUGUUGAGCGCAGCAAAACGCUGUCCGUUAAAAUCCCGGCAGGGGUGGACACUGGAGACCGCAUCCGUCUUGCGGGCGAAGGUGAAGCGGGUGAACACGGCGCACCGGCAGGCGAUCUGUACGUUCAGGUUCAGGUUAAACAGCACCCGAUUUUCGAGCGUGAAGGCAACAACCUGUAUUGCGAAGUCCCGAUCAACUUCGCUAUGGCGGCGCUGGGUGGUGAAAUCGAAGUACCGACCCUUGAUGGUCGCGUCAAACUGAAAGUGCCUGGCGAAACCCAGACCGGUAAGCUGUUCCGUAUGCGCGGUAAAGGCGUCAAGUCUGUCCGCGGUGGCGCACAGGGUGAUUUGCUAUGCCGCGUUGUUGUCGAAACACCGGUAGGUUUGAACGAGAAGCAGAAACAGCUGCUGCAAGAGCUGCAAGAAAGCUUUGGUGGCCCAACCGGCGAGCACAACAGCCCGCGUUCAAAGAGCUUCUUUGAUGGCGUGAAGAAGUUUUUUGACGNNNNNNNNNNCACAGGUGGUCAGGUAGAGAAUACCAAGGCGCUUGAGAGAACUCGGGUGAAGGAACUAGGCAAAAUGGUGCCGUAACUUCGGGAGAAGGCACGCUGAUAUGUAGGUGAAGCGACCUGCUCGUGGAGCUGAAAUCAGUCGAAGAUACCAGCUGGCUGCAACUGUUUAUUAAAAACACAGCACUGUGCAAACACGAAAGUGGACGUAUACGGUGUGACGCCUGCCCGGUGCCGGAAGGUUAAUUGAUGGGGUUAGCGGUAACGCGAAGCUCUUGAUCGAAGCCCCGGUAAACGGCGGCCGUAACUAUAACGGUCCUAAGGUAGCGAAAUUCCUUGUCGGGUAAGUUCCGACCUGCACGAAUGGCGUAAUGAUGGCCAGGCUGUCUCCACCCGAGACUCAGUGAAAUUGAACUCGCUGUGAAGAUGCAGUGUACCCGCGGCAAGACGGAAAGACCCCGUGAACCUUUACUAUAGCUUGACACUGAACAUUGAGCCUUGAUGUGUAGGAUAGGUGGGAGGCUUUGAAGUGUGGACGCCAGUCUGCAUGGAGCCGGCCUUGAAAUACCACCCUUUAAUGUUUGAUGUUCUAACGUUGGCCCGUAAUCCGGGUUGCGGACAGUGUCUGGUGGGUAGUUUGACUGGGGCGGUCUCCUCCUAAAGAGUAACGGAGGAGCACGAAGGUUGGCUAAUCUUGGUCGGACAUCAGGAGGUUAGUGCAAUGGCAUAAGCCAGCUUGACUGCGAGCGUGACGGCGCGAGCAGGUGCGAAAGCAGGUCAUAGUGAUCCGGUGGUUCUGAAUGGAAGGGCCAUCGCUCAACGGAUAAAAGGUACUCCGGGGAUAACAGGCUGAUACCGCCCAAGAGUUCAUAUCGACGGCGGUGUUUGGCACCUCGAUGUCGGCUCAUCACAUCCUGGGGCUGAAGUAGGUCCCAAGGGUAUGGCUGUUCGCCAUUUAAAGUGGUACGCGAGCUGGGUUUAGAACGUCGUGAGACAGUUCGGUCCCUAUCUGCCGUGGGCGCUGGAGAACUGAGGGGGGCUGCUCCUAGUACGAGAGGACCGGAGUGGACGCAUCACUGGUGUUCGGGUUGUCAUGCCGAUGGCACUGCCCGGUAGCUAAAUGCGGAAGAGAUAAGUGCUGAAAGCAUCUAAGCACGAAACUUGCCCCGAGAUGAGUUCUCCCUGACUCCUUGA